UUAGAAGCAGCCAUCCUUUAAAGAAAGCGUAACAGCUCACUGGUCUAGUGGUCAUGCGCUGAAAAUAUAACGGGGCUAAGAUAGACACCGAAUUUGUAGAUUGUGUUUGACACAGUGGUAGAAGAGCGUUCAUACCAGCGUUGAAGGUAUACCGGUAAGGAGUGCUGGAGCGGUAUGAAGUGAGCAUGCAGGAAUGAGUAACGAUAAGAUAUAUGAGAAUUGUAUCCGCCGUAAAUCUAAGGUUUCCUACGCGAUGGUCGUCAUCGUAGGGUUAGUCGGGUCCUAAGCCGAGUCCGAAAGGGGUAGGUGAUGGCAAAUUGGUUAAUAUUCCAAUACCGACUUAUGGAGCGUGAUGGGGGGACGCAUAGGGUUAAGCGAGCUAGCUGAUGGAAGCGCUAGUCUAAGGGCGUAGAUUGGAGGGAAGGCAAAUCCACCUCUGUAUUUGAAACCCAAACAGGCUCUUUGAGUCCUUUCAGGACAAAGGGAGAAUCGCUGAUACCGUCGUGCCAAGAAAAGCCUCUAAGCAUAUCCAUAGUCGUCCGUACCGCAAACCGACACAGGUAGAUGAGAUGAGUAUUCUAAGGCGCGUGAAAGAACUCUGGUUAAGGAACUCUGCAAACUAGCACCGUAAGUUCGCGAUAAGGUGUGCCACAGCGAUGUGGUCUCAGCAAAGAGUCCCUCCCGACUGUUUACCAAAAACACAGCACUUUGCCAACUCGUAAGAGGAAGUAUAAGGUGUGACGCCUGCCCGGUGCUCGAAGGUUAAGAGGAUGCGUCAGUCGCAAGAUGAAGCGUUGAAUUGAAGCCCGAGUAAACGGCGGCCGUAACUAUAACGGUCCUAAGGUAGCGAAAUUCCUUGUCGGUUAAAUACCGACCUGCAUGAAUGGCGUAACGAGAUGGGAGCUGUCUCAACCAGAGAUUCAGUGAAAUUGUAGUGGAGGUGAAAAUUCCUCCUACCCGCGGCAAGACGGAAAGACCCCGUGGACCUUUACUACAACUUAGCACUGCUAAUGGGAAUAUCAUGCGCAGGAUAGGUGGGAGGCUUUGAAGUAAGGGCUUUGGCUCUUAUGGAGCCAUCCUUGAGAUACCACCCUUGAUGUUUCUGUUAGCUAACUGGCCUGUGUCAUCCACAGGCAGGACAAUGCUUGGUGGGUAGUUUGACUGGGGCGGUCGCCUCCUAAAAAGUAACGGAGGCUUGCAAAGGUUGGCUCAUUGCGGUUGGAAAUCGCAAGUUGAGUGUAAUGGCACAAGCCAGCCUGACUGUAAGACAUACAAGUCAAGCAGAGACGAAAGUCGGUCAUAGUGAUCCGGUGGUUCUGUGUGGAAGGGCCAUCGCUCAAAGGAUAAAAGGUACCCCGGGGAUAACAGGCUGAUCUCCCCCAAGAGCUCACAUCGACGGGGAGGUUUGGCACCUCGAUGUCGGCUCAUCGCAUCCUGGGGCUGGAGCAGGUCCCAAGGGUAUGGCUGUUCGCCAUUUAAAGCGGUACGCGAGCUGGGUUCAGAACGUCGUGAGACAGUUCGGUCCCUAUCUGCCGUGGGCGUAGGAAAGUUGAGGAGAGCUGUCCCUAGUACGAGAGGACCGGGAUGGACGUGUCACUGGUGCACCAGUUGUUCUGCCAAGAGCAUCGCUGGGUAGCUACACACGGAUGUGAUAACUGCUGAAAGCAUCUAAGCAGGAAGCCAACUCCAAGAUAAACUUUCCCUGAAGCUCGCACAAAGACUAUGUGCUUGAUAGGGUAGAUGUGUGAGCGCAGUAAUGCGUUUAGCUGACUACUACUAAUAGAGCGUUUGGCUUGUUUUU
RNAcentral lists this ribosomal RNA (1801 nucleotides) under Helicobacter pylori Hp P-26. Its description in RNAcentral is "bacterial LSU rRNA". It matches the Rfam family "Bacterial large subunit ribosomal RNA", at positions 1106 to 2925 of the family's 2925-position model. Lineage: Bacteria; Pseudomonadati; Campylobacterota; Epsilonproteobacteria; Campylobacterales; Helicobacteraceae. The record is from RNAcentral.